GUGAGGUCCGUACCAGCAGCCGGGGGAGUACGAACGGUGGGAACAGUAUGCGGGAGGACUGGGCUUAAAGGGGGGGUGGGCGGGCGGGCCAGGGAGGGGUGAAAGCCCACGGCUCAACCGUGGAAGUGCCUUUGAUACUGCGGACCUCGAGGGAGGUAGGGGCGUGCGGAACGUCCGGGGGAGCGGUGAAAUGCGUAGAUAUCGGAAGGAACACCGGUGGCGAAAGCGGCGCGCUGGACCUCUUCUGACGCUGAGGCGCGAAAGCCAGGGGAGCAAACGGGAUUAGAUACCCCUGUAGUC
RNAcentral lists this ribosomal RNA (300 nucleotides) under uncultured Pyrodictium sp. Its description in RNAcentral is "partial 16S ribosomal RNA". It matches the Rfam family "Bacterial small subunit ribosomal RNA", at positions 496 to 795 of the family's 1533-position model. The record is from RNAcentral. Lineage: Archaea; Thermoproteati; Thermoproteota; Thermoprotei; Desulfurococcales; Pyrodictiaceae.